UAAUUUUACUGUUUUAACCCUAAUGCUUAAUUGUGUCAUGUUUAACCUAUUAAUCCUAUUUUUUUGUUGAAACAAAUCGGACCUAAUCUCCUAUUUCCCAAUUAACCUAACAAAACACCCUACUUUUCAUGCAAAGCCAUCUGAACCAAACAAACUUAUUUUCUUUCCUUUUGUUCUCUCUCUCCCCUCACACGGCCAUUUUUUAUUUAAUCAGAGAAAGUCACCCCAUUUUCAGACCCUCCUCUCUCUAUCUACGAUUCUUCUGCAUCUCUCCCCCUUUUCUCUCACACACUUUCUCCCAAAACCAUGGCUGCUUCUUCUCUCUUUCUCCACCAAGCCUCCCUUAUGGGUCACGAUCUCCGAUCUCUUUCUUCCAUCUACCAAACUCUGAUAGCUCUCUCUCCAUUAUGAACACAGAUAGCCGCCGAAAAAUUUAUUUGUCGCACUGAUCCACGCACAUCUCGCCGACUCCGCAAAUGCCGCCGCAACAACAAAUGACCUUCGUAAUUGUCACCGGUUCUAAUGAAGGUCCACACAGUUAUAGUUACUUGAAUCAAGAGAAAAAGAGCACAGGUUUGAUUUGUGAUGUCUUGAAUUCCUCAAUGCAAAUGUGAUAACACUUAACUAUUGAAGAUUUUUAAUUUUAAGACUCCCUGUUUCAUUUCAGAUAUGAUUCAGUAUUUAUACAAAUUGGAUGCAGAGGUACUUGGUGUUGAUCCAAGAGAAGUUGAUGUUCCUGUGGUAGGAGGUCAUGCAGGAGUCACAAUAUUGCCUCUUUUAUCACAGGUUAAGUCUCCCAGUAGCUUCACUGCAGAAGAAACCGAAUACCUGACAAAUCGCAUUCAAAAUGGUGGACAACACUUAUAAUUUGAAAUUUGGUGAGGAUUACAUUGGUAUGUGUUCACCCAAGAAUUUUUGUGAUUAUUGUUUAUGGACAUGAUGUUGAACCUAGAUUUUCUGGUAUUACUGCAUCAAUUGCUUACCACUAUGACCCCACAAAUUUUAAUUAUUCCGUCGUCAAAUGGUUGGAUUCAUCUACUGUUAGCUCUUGAUUUUUGGUAAGUAAUGAAAUUUAAGUUAUAAUAUAAUUGAUUUUUUUUUCCUGUACAGUGUGUUUCUUAUAAGUUAGUUUUAGUUUAUACUUAUCCAUGCUAUUAUACCAGAACUUUUUUUUCUUUUUAAAUUAGACUUUCACUUAUGAUGGAUUGACUGUAUCAUCCACAAGGGUUGCAAAGAUUUAGAUUUGAUUGAUGAUCCGGUCAUUUUUUGAGUAUGCUUUUGGAGUUUGAUCCUGAGAACAAGACUACCAAAUUUGGAGGAUAUUGGAAAUGCUUAUAUGUAAGAAAGCUAUAGUGCACGGGAAAGUGGUAAAGAUUGGAUCAAUUGCUUUGGGGCUACAUUGGACUUCUUUACAUUACAUUACUAGAGUGAUUGCUUUCAUAGCAAUCAAAUUAAUAUUUAGUACCGUUGUUAUUUUCAUCAGUUUUAUGAACUAUCAUGCAAGCAUUGCAUUCUUUUUGUUUGUUUUUGCGUUUGACAAUGUUAACUUAUCUUUAAACAGAUGACU
Medicago truncatula (barrel medic) is the source of this 1567-nucleotide RNA transcript. It is a transcript of the gene named malate dehydrogenase 2, peroxisomal-like, with no coding region annotated. NCBI's taxonomy places the organism in Eukaryota, Viridiplantae, Streptophyta, Magnoliopsida, Fabales, Fabaceae. The transcript is spliced from 5 exons. The record is from RefSeq and is a predicted model, not a curated record.